Molecule: ribosomal RNA, 274 nt
Filed under: uncultured bacterium
Lineage: Bacteria
Description: partial 16S ribosomal RNA
Rfam family: Bacterial small subunit ribosomal RNA
Source: RNAcentral
AUACGGAGGGGGCUAGCGUUGUUCGGAAUUACUGGGCGUAAAGCGCGCGUAGGCGGAUUGAUCAGUCAGGGGUGAAAUCCCGGAGCUUAACUCCGGAACUGCCUUUGAUACUGUCAAUCUAGAGUUCGAGAGAGGUGAGUGGAAUUCCUAGUGUAGAGGUGAAAUUCGUAGAUAUUAGGAAGAACACCAGUGGCGAAGGCGGCUCACUGACUCGAUACUGACGCUGAGGUGCGAAAGCGUGGGGAGCAAACAGGAUUAGAUACCCUAGUAGUCC